RNAcentral lists this ribosomal RNA (435 nucleotides) under uncultured Clostridium sp. RNAcentral describes it as "partial 16S ribosomal RNA". It matches the Rfam family "Bacterial small subunit ribosomal RNA", at positions 341 to 792 of the family's 1533-position model. Lineage: Bacteria; Bacillati; Bacillota; Clostridia; Eubacteriales; Clostridiaceae. The record is from RNAcentral.
ACGGGAGGCAGCAGUGGGGGAUAUUGCACAAUGGGGGAAACCCUGAUGCAGCGACGCCGCGUGAGUGAAGAAGUAUUUCGGUAUGUAAAGCUCUAUCAGCAGGGAAGAAAAAGGACGGUACCUGACUAAGAAGCCCCGGCUAACUACGUGCCAGCAGCCGCGGUAAUACGUAGGGGGCAAGCGUUAUCCGGAUUUACUGGGUGUAAAGGGAGCGUAGACGGCUGUGCAAGUCUGAAGUGAAAGCCCGCGGCUCAACUGCAGAACUGCUUUGGAAACUGUACGGCUUGAGUACCGGAGGGGUAAGCGGAAUUCCUAGUGUAGCGGUGAAAUGCGUAGAUAUCAGGAGGAACACCGGUGGCGAAGGCGGUUUACUGGACCAUUACUGACGCUGAGACACGAAAGCGUGGGGAGCAAACAGGAUUAGAUACCCUGGUA